This 894-nucleotide ribosomal RNA is filed under the name uncultured bacterium. Its description in RNAcentral is "bacterial SSU rRNA". It matches the Rfam family "Bacterial small subunit ribosomal RNA", at positions 505 to 1397 of the family's 1533-position model. The record is from RNAcentral.
GUGCCAGCAGCCGCGGUAAUACGUAGGGUGCAAGCGUUAUCCGGAAUUAUUGGGCGUAAAGAGCUCGUAGGCGGUUUGUCGCGUCUGCUGUGAAAACUAGAGGCUCAACCUCUAGCUUGCAGUGGGUACGGGCAGACUAGAGUGCGGUAGGGGAGAUUGGAAUUCCUGGUGUAGCGGUGGAAUGCGCAGAUAUCAGGAGGAACACCGAUGGCGAAGGCAGAUCUCUGGGCCGUAACUGACGCUGAGGAGCGAAAGAGUGGGGAGCAAACAGGCUUAGAUACCCUGGUAGUCCACUCCGUAAACGUUGGGAACUAGUUGUGGGGGCCUUUCUACGGUCUCCGUGACGCAGCUAACGCAUUAAGUUCCCCGCCUGGGGAGUACGGCCGCAAGGCUAAAACUCAAAGGAAUUGACGGGGACCCGCACAAGCGGCGGAGCAUGCGGAUUAAUUCGAUGCAACGCGAAGAACCUUACCAAGGCUUGACAUAUACCGGAAACGGCUGGAAACAGUCGCCCCCUUGUGGUCGGUAUACAGGUGGUGCAUGGUUGUCGUCAGCUCGUGUCGUGAGAUGUUGGGUUAAGUCCCGCAACGAGCGCAACCCUCGUUCUAUGUUGCCAGCACGUUAUGGUGGGAACUCAUGGAAUACUGCCGGGGUCAACUCGGAGGAAGGUGGGGACGACGUCAAAUCAUCAUGCCCCUUAUGUCUUGGGCUUCAAGCAUGCUACAAUGGUCGGUACAAUGGGUUGCGAAACUGUGAGGUGGAGCGAAUCCCAAAAAGCCGGCCCCAGUUCGGAUUGGGGUCUGCAACUCGACCCCAUGAAGUCGGAGUCGCUAGUAAUCGCAGAUCAGCAACGCUGCGGUGAAUACGUUCCCGGGCCUUGUACACACCGCCCGU